UACGUAGGGAGCAAGCGUUGUCCGGAUUUAUUGGGCGUAAAGGGCUCGUAGGCGGUUUGUCACGUCGGAAGUGAAAACUCAGGGCUCAACCCUGAGCGUGCUUACGAUACGGGCAAACUAGAGGUAUGCAGGGGAGAACGGAAUUCCUGGUGUAGCGGUGGAAUGCGCAGAUAUCAGGAGGAACACCGGUGGCGAAGGCGGUUCUCUGGGCAUUACCUGACGCUGAGGAGCGAAAGCGUGGGGAGCGAACAGG
RNAcentral lists this ribosomal RNA (253 nucleotides) under uncultured bacterium. RNAcentral describes it as "partial 16S ribosomal RNA". It matches the Rfam family "Bacterial small subunit ribosomal RNA", at positions 524 to 776 of the family's 1533-position model. The record is from RNAcentral.